This 490-nucleotide ribosomal RNA is filed under the name uncultured bacterium. Its description in RNAcentral is "partial 16S ribosomal RNA". It matches the Rfam family "Bacterial small subunit ribosomal RNA", at positions 30 to 507 of the family's 1533-position model. The record is from RNAcentral.
AUUGAACGCUGGCGGCAUGCCUUACACAUGCAAGUCGAACGGCAGCAUGAUCUUUGUUGCUGGAUUCAUGGCGGGUGGCGAACGUGUGGGUAAUACAUCUGCACGUGCGCGGUAGUUGACGUUCACUAGUCGGAAGUUUUACCACUACCGCAUAGGACGUGAGGGUGAAAGUGGUUGGCCCCAAACCCUCAUGCUAUAGGCUCGGCCGAUGUCUGAUUAGCUAGUUGGUGGGGUAAAGGCUCACCAAGGCGACGAUCCGUAGCUGGUCUGAGAGGACGAUCAGUCACACUGGAACUGAGACACGGCCCAGACUCCUACGGGAGGCAGCAGUGGGGAAUUUUGGACAAUGGGCGAAAGCCUGAUCCAGCAAUGCCGCGUGUGUGAAGAAGGCCUUCGGGUUGUAAAGCACUUUUGGCCGGAAAGAAAGGGAGCUGGUUAAUACCUGGGGUUGAUGACGGUACCGGAAGAAUAAGGACCGGCUAACUACGUG